RNAcentral lists this ribosomal RNA (382 nucleotides) under uncultured eukaryote. Its description in RNAcentral is "partial 18S ribosomal RNA". It matches the Rfam family "Eukaryotic small subunit ribosomal RNA", at positions 592 to 976 of the family's 1831-position model. The record is from RNAcentral.
CAAUAGCGUAUAUUGAAGUUGUUGCGGUUAAAAAGCUCGUCGUUGGAUUUCUGUUGAGGUCGAACAGUGCCGCCCUAUGGGUGCGCAACUGGCUCGGCUUCGGCAUCUUCUUGGAGAGCGCAUCUGCACUUAACUGUGUGGAUCGUACUUCAAGUCAGUUACUUUGAGGAAUUGUGAGUGUUUCAAGGAGGCUUACGCCGUUGAAUCCGUUAGCAUGGAAUAAUAGGAUAGGACCUCGGUUCUAUUUUGUUGGUUUUGAGAGCUGGGGCAGCGAUUGAUAGGGACGGAUGGGGGCGUCCGAACUUUACUGUCAGAGGUGAAAUUCUUAGAUCGGUCAAAGGCGAACUACUGCGAACGCAUUCGCCAAGAAUGUUUUCUUUAA